This 244-nucleotide ribosomal RNA is filed under the name uncultured bacterium. Its description in RNAcentral is "partial 16S ribosomal RNA". It matches the Rfam family "Bacterial small subunit ribosomal RNA", at positions 528 to 772 of the family's 1533-position model. The record is from RNAcentral.
UAGGGGGCAAGCGUUAUCCGGAAUGAUUGGGCGUAAAGAGUACGUAGGUGGUUUUGUAAGCGCGGGGUGAAAGGCAGUGGCUUAACCAUUGUAAGCCUUGCGAACUGCGAGACUUGAGUGCAGGAGAGGAAAGCGGAAUUCCUAGUGUAGCGGUGAAAUGCUUAGAUAUUAGGAGGAACACCAGUGGCGAAGGCGGCUUUCUGGACUGUAACUGACACUGAGGUACGAAAGCGUGGGGAGCAAA